Molecule: long non-coding RNA, 857 nt
Organism: Cornus florida
Lineage: Eukaryota; Viridiplantae; Streptophyta; Magnoliopsida; Cornales; Cornaceae
Exons: 2
Source: RefSeq, a predicted model, not a curated record
AUGGAAAAACAAUAUUAUAGAGGCACUUUCAUCUUCUGAACUGGUGAGAAGAAAUAUAUGACUUAGUGGUAGUUAAGUAUUUAUAAAAAUAUUUAUUGACAAAUUUAACUUUGACUAAUGAAACGUAAAAAUUGAAACCGUGGUUCCCAAUUGCGUCUCUCGUUUCAGAGUCAUGGUUCCCACUUGGAAAUUUACUGCGUCUCUCGUUUCUCAGUCAAGGUUCCCAAUUGAACCCCUCUCUCUCUCAUCGCAAAACGCUAGUACAAGGCGCUUUAAGACCCAUUUGAAGUAUGAGAAGAACCCAAAGAUUAAGCACUGAGUACUAGAGGAGGGCCGAAGAGAUUCGGGCUGUUCUUGAUUGGAGGGACUGGUUCUCCCUCCAAUGGGGAUGCUGCAGUAGCCACGCGGCGGAAGACAAAGCCUAAGAAUGGAUCGAGGCGGAGACAGAGGGAAGCCAAAUGUGAAGUGGAAUGAUGUUUGCAGGGCUUGAGAGUGCCAAGCAGGCGUUGCAGGAUAUCUGUUUUUGUUUUUAUGUUGCCUCUUGUUGCCUUCAAUGUAAAAACAAACUGAAUGAUGGUAACAAUUCACCAAUGACAAUAAGUACUAAACACAUUUUUUUUGGGGAUUAAAUGGCCUUGUUGAGUCAAAAUUUAUGAGCACAAGAAUUAAACAUAAAGUUAUUACAAACAAUUUGCUCCACCUUUUAAUCUUCAGACAAUGAUCUCCAGUGGGUUGCUCUAUUAGCCGUACUUUCCUGAUUCCAGUUGUAAGUUGUGUAUUAGGAUAUGUCGUAAUGUAUUGUUAUUGUUCUUGCUGUUGUCGUCGUCUUCUUUUUUUUUUUUUUUUUUUUUUUUUUU